Molecule: unclassified non-coding RNA, 115 nt
Filed under: uncultured fungus
Lineage: Eukaryota; Fungi
Description: sequence contains ITS1
Source: RNAcentral
GUGAAACUGGCCUCACGGCCUAACCCACAAUCCACAAACACCUGUGAACCGUCUGCGCUCGCGCAGCUUUUACAAAACAUCUGUGUCAUGAACGUCCAUUGAUUGUAAACAAACA